GACAACCCCAUUCAGGUCGUGUUCCUGCUUAAAACCCUCUGCUUGGGCCCCGCGCCAAGUCGAGUCCUCAUUCGGGAUGUGGAUUAGCGCCCUUCGCGAUCCCCGAGCUCCUCCCUCGUCUGCCCCUGGAGGGGAGCGCCCACUGUCCGGCUCCUGAAGGAGCCGCUUCUCCUCCCACGUCCUGGGAUUCUGCAGACCCUCCCUGUCGUGAGACAUCGUUCUCCGCGCCACCUUGUGUCGUCCUCACGCCGGGUCCUUCCGCUCCCCAGGCUUCCCCUUCACAGCCACUGCUUUUCUUGACUCCCCGUUGGGACAGGUUGCCUGAGUCUGUCUUGUGACACCCAGUGUUCUUCCUUCCCAAAUUUUACUCCACUGGAAAAUGUGCUCUUCCGGGAGGUGGGCAUCCUAUUCCUCCCCCUUUCCUCCCGAAUGUGCGGGUGAGAGGGAUCAGGAGAGGAAAAGACGGGGAACGACGGAGCAAAAGGAAAAACUGAGGAGAAGAGAAUGAGGGAGACCCAUAAAUACACGGCAAAAUGGAUGAUACUUUAGGGACUUGCAAAGAGAGCAAGAGUGAAAGAGAACGGAUGGAAAAAGUAGCAGGGGGAGAAAAGCACACAGAGAAAUUUAGAAAAAAAGGGGACCUUCAGAGAGAUGAAGGGCAGCAAAAUAGAAUGGGGCGGCAAAGGAGGAGGCGCUGCAGACAGACAGUGGGGAGAAGGUGAAAGAGUUGGAGCCGCGUCUGACAGAGCCACGUGGUGCUGGGACUGAAAGAGGGAGAGAGGGCAGUGGGUGACAAGCAGAGUAGAGGGAGAACCACAGCAGGGAGGAAGCCUAGGAAAUUGGGGGUGCUAGAGAGUGGGAACAAAGGAGGUGUAACAGGGAAGAGGGAAUUUAACAAGGAGAGCAGAGAGGGAGCUUAGAUGGGGGAAAAGAGGCAGAAAUACGUGGAGAUUGGGGACAAUCGGAAAGAUUGGGGAGAAAGAGCUACGAGAGGUGAAGUAAGUUGCAGAGCAUUGGGCAGAACAGACAUAAAGAGGGAAUAAAGAAAGGGGUGCAAAACAGAAAAGGAGAAAAAAAAGACGCGCAGAAUGAGAGAGGGAAACACAUAGCCGUGAAGAAAGCGGGAGAGGACCCCAUCCAGAUGCGUGACAGUUGAUUGGAUAUGGAUGGUGGUUGUAAUAUAUUGAUUUGUGGCUUUAUACUCCGAUUUGAAAUAUGUUUAAGUUGUACUCAUGAGGAUGAAAAUCACCAAAGUUUUUUCCAUAAGCCUUGUGCAUUUUGUAUGUAUUUGUAUCAAAAGAUAUUUGGAAUUCCUAUUUAGCCAGAGGGCAGUGACUUGAUCCAGUUAUUUGUGGUAACUCUCUUCUUCCCAAUGAUGGAGUAGAGGAUAAAGGAGGGGAGAAAUGGGGCAAGAAAUGACUGACUGUCACUACAAGAUAUGUCUUUGGUGUUUUUUGUGGCUUUGUUCUGUUUUGUUUGUUUUGGGGGGGGACAUGGUCUCUCUCUGCCGCCUAGGCUGGAGAGCAGUGGCAUGAUCUCGGCUCACUGCAGCUUCUACUUCCUGGCCUCAAGCAGUCUUUCCACCUCAGCCUCUCAACGCACUGGAAUUACAGAUGUGAGCCACCACACUAGGCCUACAAGGGAUCUUUGACAUUCAGGGAUGUAGCCAUAGAAUUCUCUCAGGAGGAGUGGAAAUGCCUGGACCCUGUUCAGAAAGCUUUGUACAGGGACGUGAUGUUGGAGAACUACAGGAACCUCGGC
This 1761-nucleotide long non-coding RNA is filed under the name Pan troglodytes (chimpanzee). RNAcentral describes it as "long non-coding RNA NONPTRT008608". The record is from RNAcentral. Lineage: Eukaryota; Metazoa; Chordata; Mammalia; Primates; Hominidae.